GCCUAAUACAUGCAAGUCGAACGAACUCUGGUAUUGAUUGGUGCUUGCAUCAUGAUUUACAUUUGAGUGAGUGGCGAACUGGUGAGUAACACGUGGGAAACCUGCCCAGAAGCGGGGGAUAACACCUGGAAACAGAUGCUAAUACCGCAUAACAACUUGGACCGCAUGGUCCGAGCUUGAAAGAUGGCUUCGGCUAUCACUUUUGGAUGGUCCCGCGGCGUAUUAGCUAGAUGGUGGGGUAACGGCUCACCAUGGCAAUGAUACGUAGCCGACCUGAGAGGGUAAUCGGCCACAUUGGGACUGAGACACGGCCCAAACUCCUACGGGAGGCAGCAGUAGGGAAUCUUCCACAAUGGACGAAAGUCUGAUGGAGCAACGCCGCGUGAGUGAAGAAGGGUUUCGGCUCGUAAAACUCUGUUGUUAAAGAAGAACAUAUCUGAGAGUAACUGUUCAGGUAUUGACGGUAUUUAACCAGAAAGCCACGGCUAACUACGUGCCAGCAGCCGCGGUAAUACGUAGGUGGCAAGCGUUGUCCGGAUUUAUUGGGCGUAAAGCGAGCGCAGGCGGUUUUUUAAGUCUGAUGUGAAAGCCUUCGGCUCAACCGAAGAAGUGCAUCGGAAACUGGGAAACUUGAGUGCAGAAGAGGACAGUGGAACUCCAUGUGUAGCGGUGAAAUGCGUAGAUAUAUGGAAGAACACCAGUGGCGAAGGCGGCUGUCUGGUCUGUAACUGACGCUGAGGCUCGAAAGUAUGGGUAGCAAACAGGAUUAGAUACCCUGGUAGUCCAUACCGUAAACGAUGAAUGCUAAGUGUUGGAGGGUUUCCGCCCUUCAGUGCUGCAGCUAACGCAUUAAGCAUUCCGCCUGGGGAGUACGGCCGCAAGGCUGAAACUCAAAGGAAUUGACGGGGGCCCGCACAAGCGGUGGAGCAUGGUGUUAAGUUCGAAGCUACGCGAAGAACCUUAACAGGUCUGACAUACUAUGCAAUUCUAAGAGAAUAGACGUUCCCUUCAGGGACAUGGAUACAGGUGGUGCAU
This 1035-nucleotide ribosomal RNA is filed under the name Lactiplantibacillus plantarum. Its description in RNAcentral is "bacterial SSU rRNA". It matches the Rfam family "Bacterial small subunit ribosomal RNA", at positions 46 to 1046 of the family's 1533-position model. The record is from RNAcentral. Lineage: Bacteria; Bacillati; Bacillota; Bacilli; Lactobacillales; Lactobacillaceae.